Molecule: ribosomal RNA, 200 nt
Filed under: uncultured Glomus
Lineage: Eukaryota; Fungi; Glomeromycota; Glomeromycetes; Glomerales; Glomeraceae
Description: partial small subunit ribosomal RNA
Rfam family: Eukaryotic small subunit ribosomal RNA
Source: RNAcentral
CCAAUAGCGUAUAUUAAAGUUGUUGCAGUUAAAAAGCUCGUAGUUGAAUUUCGGGGUUAGUAGAUUGGUCAUGCCUCUGGUAUGUACUGGUCUCACUGAUUCCUCCUUCCUGAUGAGCCGUAAUGCCAUUAAUUUGGUGUUGCGGGGAAUUUGGACUGUUACUUUGAAAAAAUUAGAGUGUUUAAAGCAAGCUAACGCUU